Molecule: unclassified non-coding RNA, 215 nt
Filed under: Glomeromycetes sp.
Lineage: Eukaryota; Fungi; Glomeromycota; Glomeromycetes
Description: partial contains 5.8S ribosomal RNA and internal transcribed spacer 2
Rfam family: 5.8S ribosomal RNA (bases 1-71)
Source: RNAcentral
GUGAAUCAUCAAAUCUUUGAACGCACAUUGCACUCUCUGGUAUUCCGGAGAGUAUGUCUAUUUGAGGGUCAGUUUAAAUAAUAUUCGGUGUGGUUGCUGCCUUUCGUGGUGACGUACCGGAUUUGGGUUGUCUUGCCUUCGGAUAAAUGACAUGAAAUUUUGCAUGAUUUUUUCGAUCGUAUUUGAAUGACUUUACGUACGUUUGCGAUAUUGAA